AUUGAACGCUGGCGGCAUGCUUUACACAUGCAAGUCGAACGGCAGCGCGGGCUUCUGCUUGGCGGCGAGUGGGCAACGGGCGGGUAAUUCAUCCGAACGUGCUCAGCAUUGGGGGGUGGGCCGACGAAAGCCGGAUUAAUCCCGCAUCCGAUCUGAAGGUGAAAGCGGGGGACCGAGAGGCAUCGCUCCAUUUGCACCGCCGAUGUCGGAUCGGCUAGUUGGUUGGGUAAAGGCUUACCAAGACGAGCAUCCGUAGCUAGUUUGAGAGGCGGACCGGCCACACGGGAACUGGAACACGGCCCAGACUCCUACGGGAGGCACCAGUGGGGAAUUUUGGACAAUGGGGGCAGCCCUGAUCCAGCCAUGCGGCGUGCGGGAGGAGGGCCUUCGGGUGGUAAACCGCUUUUGUAGGGGAAAAAGUUCUCUGGGCUAAUACCCCCGGGGGAUGACGGUACCGGAAGAAUAAGCAACGGCUAACUACGUG
RNAcentral lists this ribosomal RNA (484 nucleotides) under uncultured bacterium. RNAcentral's name for it is "partial 16S ribosomal RNA". It matches the Rfam family "Bacterial small subunit ribosomal RNA", at positions 28 to 507 of the family's 1533-position model. The record is from RNAcentral.